AGAGUUUGAUCUUGCUUAGAUUGACGCUGGCGGCAGGCCUAACACAUGCAAGUCGAACGGUAACAGGAAGAAGCUUGCUUCUUCGCUGACGAGUGGCGGACGGGUGAGUAAUGUCUGGGAAACUGCCUGAUGGAGGGGGAUAACUACUGGAAACGGUAGCUAAUACCGCAUAACGUCGCAAGACCAAAGAGGGGGGCCUUCGGGCCUCUUGCCAUCGGAUGUGCCCAGAUGGGAUUAGCUAGUAGGUGGGGUAACGGCUCACCUAGGCGACGAUCCCUAGCUGGUCUGAGAGGAUGACCAGCCACACUGGAACUGAGACACGGUCCAGACUCCUACGGGAGGCAGCAGUGGGGAAUAUUGCACAAUGGGCGCAAGCCUGAUGCAGCCAUGCCGCGUGUAUGAAGAAGGCCUUCGGGUUGUAAAGUACUUUCAGCGGGGAGGAAGGGAGUAAAGUUAAUACCUUUGCUCAUUGACGUUACCCGCAGAAGAAGCACCGGCUAACUCCGUGCCAGCAGCCGCGGUAAUACGGAGGGUGCAAGCGUUAAUCGGAAUUACUGGGCGUAAAGCGCACGCAGGCGGUUUGUUAAGUCAGAUGUGAAAUCCCCGGGCUCAACCUGGGAACUGCAUCUGAUACUGGCAAGCUUGAGUCUCGUAGAGGGGGGUAGAAUUCCAGGUGUAGCGGUGAAAUGCGUAGAGAUCUGGAGGAAUACCGGUGGCGAAGGCGGCCCCCUGGACGAAGACUGACGCUCAGGUGCGAAAGCGUGGGGAGCAAACAGGAUUAGAUACCCUGGUAGUCCACGCCGUAAACGAUGUUGACUUGGAGGUUGUGCCCUUGAGGCGUGGCUUCCGGAGCUAACGCGUUAAGUCGACCGCCUGGGGAGUACGGCCGCAAGGUUAAAACUCAAAUGAAUUGACGGGGGCCCGCACAAGCGGUGGAGCAUGUGGUUUAAUUCGAUGCAACGCGAAGAACCUUACCUGGUCUUGACAUCCACGGAAGUUUUCAGAGAUGAGAAUGUGCCUUCGGGAACCGUGAGACAGGUGCUGCAUGGCUGUCGUCAGCUCGUGUUGUGAAAUGUUGGGUUAAGUCCCGCAACGAGCGCAACCCUUAUCCUUUGUUGCCAGCGGUCCGGCCGGGAACUCAAAGGAGACUGCCAGUGAUAAACUGGAGGAAGGUGGGGAUGACGUCAAGUCAUCAUGGCCCUUACGACCAGGGCUACACACGUGCCACAAUGGCGCAUACAAAGAGAAGCGACCUCGCGAGAGCAAGCGGACCUCAUAAAGUGCGUCGUAGUCCGGAUUGGAGUCUGCAACUCGACUUCAUGAAGUCGGAAUCGCUAGUAAUCGUGGAUCAGAAUGCCACGGUGAAUACGUUCCCGGGCCUUGUACACACCGCCCGUCACACCAUGGGAGUGGGUUGCAAAAGAAGUAGGUAGCUUAACCUUCGGGAGGGCGCUUACCACUUUGUGAUUCAUGACUGGGGUGAAGUC
This 1487-nucleotide ribosomal RNA is filed under the name uncultured bacterium. RNAcentral's name for it is "bacterial SSU rRNA". It matches the Rfam family "Bacterial small subunit ribosomal RNA". The record is from RNAcentral.